CAGUUCGGACUGUAGUCUGCAACCCGACUACACGAAGCUGGAAUCGCUAGUAAUCGCGAAUCAGAAUGUCGCGGUGAAUACGUUCCCGGGUCCUUGUACACACCGCCCGUCACACCAUGGGAGUCGGGAAUGCCCGAAGUCAGUGACCCAACCUAUUGGAGGGAGCUGCCGAAGGCAGGUCUGAUAACUGGGGUGAAGUCGUAACAAGGUAUC
This 213-nucleotide ribosomal RNA is filed under the name uncultured bacterium. RNAcentral describes it as "partial 16S ribosomal RNA". It matches the Rfam family "Bacterial small subunit ribosomal RNA", at positions 1289 to 1500 of the family's 1533-position model. The record is from RNAcentral.